AUGGGCCCGUUACGGCGAGUGAAGCGGCAAGAGCUCAAAUUUGAAAGCUGGCUCCUUCGGGGUCCGCAUUGUAAUUUGCAGAGGAUGCUUCGGGAGCGGUCCCCAUCUAAGUGCCCUGGAACGGGACGUCAUAGAGGGUGAGAAUCCCGUAUGGGAUGGGGUGUCCGCGCCCGUGUGAAGCUCCUUCGACGAGUCGAGUUGUUUGGGAAUGCAGCUCUAAUGGGUGGUAAAUUUCAUCUAAAGCUAAAUAUUGGCCGGAGACCGAUGCGCACAAGUAGAGUGAUCGAAAGAUGAAAAGCACUUUGAAAAGAGAGUUAAAAAGCACGUGAAAUUGUUGAAAGGGAAGCGCUUGCGACCAGACUCGCUCGCGGGGUUCAGCCGGCAUUCGUGCCGGUGUACUUCCCCGCGGGCGGGCCAGCGUCGGUUUGGGCGGUCGGUCAAAGGCCCUCGGAAGGUAACGCCCCUAGGGGCGUCUUAUAGCCGAGGGUGCAAUGCGACCUGCCUAGACCGAGGAACGCGCUUCGGCUCGGACGCUGGCAUAAUGGUCGUAAGCGACCCGUCUUGAACCCCCGGGACACCAAA
This 582-nucleotide ribosomal RNA is filed under the name Penicillium sclerotigenum. RNAcentral describes it as "partial large subunit ribosomal RNA". It matches the Rfam family "Eukaryotic large subunit ribosomal RNA", at positions 73 to 664 of the family's 3401-position model. The record is from RNAcentral. Lineage: Eukaryota; Fungi; Ascomycota; Eurotiomycetes; Eurotiales; Aspergillaceae.